This 253-nucleotide ribosomal RNA is filed under the name uncultured bacterium. Its description in RNAcentral is "partial 16S ribosomal RNA". It matches the Rfam family "Bacterial small subunit ribosomal RNA", at positions 524 to 776 of the family's 1533-position model. The record is from RNAcentral.
UACGGAGGGUGCGAGCGUUGAUCGGAAUUACUGGGCGUAAAGCGCACGUAGGCGGUUUGUUAAGUCGGAUGUGAAAUCCCCGGGCUCAACCUGGGAGCUGCAUUCGAUACUGGCUGACUUGAGUACGAGAGAGGGGGGUGGAAUUCCAGGUGUAGCGGUGAAAUGCGUAGAUAUCUGGAGGAACAUCAGUGGCGAAGGCGGCCCCCUGGCUCGAUACUGACGCUGAGGUGCGAAAGCGUGGGGAGCAAACAGG